UAGCCGUAGGUGAACCUGCGGAGGGAUCAUUACAGAGUUCAUGCCCUACCGGGUAGAUCUCCCACCCUAUGUUAUUAUUACUUUGUUGCUUUGGCGGGCCGUUAGGCUCCGGCCCGACUACCGGCCCCGGCUGGUAAGCGCCCGCCAGAGGACCCAAAACCCUGAAUAUUAGUGUCGUCUGAGUACUAUAUAAUAGUUAAAACUUUCAACAACGGAUCUCUUGGUUCUG
RNAcentral lists this unclassified non-coding RNA (229 nucleotides) under plant metagenome. Its description in RNAcentral is "partial contains small subunit ribosomal RNA, internal transcribed spacer 1, and 5.8S ribosomal RNA". The record is from RNAcentral.